RNAcentral lists this ribosomal RNA (502 nucleotides) under uncultured bacterium. RNAcentral describes it as "partial 16S ribosomal RNA". It matches the Rfam family "Bacterial small subunit ribosomal RNA", at positions 30 to 523 of the family's 1533-position model. The record is from RNAcentral.
AUUGAACGCUGGCGGCAUGCUUUACACAUGCAAGUCGAACGGCAGCACGGGUGCUUGCACCUGGUGGCGAGUGGCGAACGGGUGAGUAAUGCAUCGGAACGUAUCCAAUAAUGGGGGAUAACGCACCGAAAGGUGUGCUAAUACCGCAUACGCCCUGAGGGGGAAAGUGGGGGACCGUAAGGCCUCACGUUAAUGGAGCGGCCGAUGCCUGAUUAGCUAGUUGGUGAGGUAAAGGCUCACCAAGGCCACGAUCAGUAGCUGGUCUGAGAGGACGACCAGCCACACUGGGACUGAGACACGGCCCAGACUCCUACGGGAGGCAGCAGUGGGGAAUUUUGGACAAUGGGCGCAAGCCUGAUCCAGCCAUGCCGCGUGAGUGAAGAAGGCCUUCGGGUUGUAAAGCUCUUUCGCAAGGAAAGAAAACUUAUCCCCUAAUACGGGAUGAGGAUGACGGUACCUUGAUAAGAAGCACCGGCUAACUACGUGCCAGCCGCCGCCGUAA